RNAcentral lists this long non-coding RNA (941 nucleotides) under Pongo abelii (Sumatran orangutan). Its description in RNAcentral is "lincRNA". Lineage: Eukaryota; Metazoa; Chordata; Mammalia; Primates; Hominidae. The record is from RNAcentral.
AGGUGGAGUGGUGGCGCUGGAUAGCGUUAGUUAAUGUCCAAUAUAAAGAAACUGUCAUGUGAUACCAGUACCUCCUAAAUUGGUCAGUGUGGUAGACGGUUUAGAGAAAAAAGGAACCUGUUCCACAGGGCUGUGACCAUUUUGGGCUGCCAUGGAGGGAAGCACAUUCAAAGAUGUAGAUCCCCUCAGAGAAGUUUUCCAUUUUCCUGAAAUUAAAGAUCUUCAAAUGACUGCAAAUAACAUGAGGAUAUAUAGAAAAGUGCCCUUCCCCAAUUUCCAAAUCAUGAAAAUUUGGCUCAGCAGAGCCCUAAUUUGUUUAGAACUGUCAUAUGCACAGUUAAAACAACUUGUCCUCCCAGGACCUUUUGCAGUUAGGGUUGGUCAUGUGACAUGGUCCUGCCAGGAAGAUACGGAUAGAAGUCUGUGGGCCACCAGUGGAUUGAAUGAUGCCCAUAUGCACUGAGAAGGGCCAUGUGUUUACUCGGUCUACCAAUUGAAAUGUUAAUCUCAUCCAAAAACACCCUCACAGAUAUGUUUGGAAUGAUGUUUAACCAAAUAUUUGGGUACCAUCUUCCCCAGUGAAGUUGACACAAAAUUAACCAUCACAGCUGCCUUCCUCUGGGCCUCAUGUUAUAUGAGAACAGUAUUGGGUGUACACUUAAAGCAUUCUGGGAAUAUGAAUCCCUUCUGCACCCGGGAUUCACCAGUCCAGCCAUGCAUGGAGCUGGGGAAAGCAGGCCCUGAACUGUCUAGAGAGACUUGGUGGAGGAGGCCACGGCCCGUCUUGUCCCUGCCGGGUCCUGGCCAGGAUUUGAACGUCUAUGACACUCUUCCGAGCUGACACAGUGAAGAACAUGGAAGGAGAACUCACCCAGUCUGCCAGGGUCACAGAUGAUCAUACUCAAGAUCUUCCUGGGGAGUCAACGGCAAAUUUCACUGGG